GCUUACCUUUUCUAUCUGGCUUGGUACACCUCUUCACGAGCCUUAUGGAGUCCUUCACGAACUGCCGGCUAGGCUCUACAAACUGCAUUAUCUGGUCCAUGUGGUUUUCUGUUAUUUACCUGAGUUAUUCAAUGAAAGCGUCUCAGCUGCCUCCACUCAGCCAGUCUGUUCGGAAGAAAA
Long non-coding RNA from Anguilla rostrata (American eel), 180 nucleotides. RefSeq lists it as uncharacterized. Lineage: Eukaryota; Metazoa; Chordata; Actinopteri; Anguilliformes; Anguillidae. The transcript is spliced from 2 exons. The record is from RefSeq and is a predicted model, not a curated record.